AACGAACGCUGGCGGCAGGCCUAACACAUGCAAGUCGAGCGCCCCGCAAGGGGAGCGGCGGACGGGUGAGUAACGCGUGGGAAUAUGCCCUUUGCUACGGAAUCGUCUCGGGAAACUGGGGGUAAUACCGUAUACGCCCUUUGGGGGAAAGAUUUAUCGGCGAAGGAUUAGCCCGCGUUGGAUUAGGUAGUUGGUGGGGUAAUGGCCUACCAAGCCGACGAUCCAUAGCUGGUUUGAGAGGAUGAUCAGCCACACUGGGACUGAGACACGGCCCAGACUCCUACGGGAGGCAGCAGUGGGGAAUCUUAGACAAUGGGGGCAACCCUGAUCUAGCCAUGCCGCGUGAGUGAUGAAGGCCUUAGGGUUGUAAAGCUCUUUCAGCUGGGAAGAUAAUGACGGUACCAGCAGAAGAAGCCCCGGCUAACUCCGUG
This 431-nucleotide ribosomal RNA is filed under the name uncultured bacterium. RNAcentral's name for it is "partial 16S ribosomal RNA". It matches the Rfam family "Bacterial small subunit ribosomal RNA", at positions 29 to 507 of the family's 1533-position model. The record is from RNAcentral.